Molecule: ribosomal RNA, 253 nt
Filed under: uncultured bacterium
Lineage: Bacteria
Description: partial 16S ribosomal RNA
Rfam family: Bacterial small subunit ribosomal RNA
Source: RNAcentral
UACGGAGGGGGCUAGCGUUGUUCGGAAUUACUGGGCGUAAAGCGCACGUAGGCGGUGUUCCAUGUCAGAGGUGAAAGCCUGGGGCUCAACUCCAGAAUUGCCUUUGAAACGGGGACGCUUGAGUCCGAGAGAGGAUGGCGGAAUUCCUAGUGUAGGGGUGAAAUUCGUAGAUAUUAGGAAGAACACCGGUGGCGAAGGCGGCCAUCUGGCUCGGUACUGACGCUCAGGUUCGAAAGCGUGGGGAGCAAACGGG